Molecule: ribosomal RNA, 455 nt
Filed under: uncultured bacterium
Lineage: Bacteria
Description: bacterial SSU rRNA
Rfam family: Bacterial small subunit ribosomal RNA
Source: RNAcentral
UACGGAAGGCAGCAGUGGGGAAUAUUGCACAAUGGACGAAAGCCUGAUGCAGCUAUGCCGCGUGUAUGAAGAAGGCCUUAGGGUUGUAAAGUACUUUCAUCGGGGAGGAAAAAACAAAACUAAUAAUUUUAUUUCUUGACGUUACCCGAAAAAGAAGCACCGGCUAACUCCGUGCCAGCAGCCGCGGUAAUACGGAGGGUGCUAGCGUUAAUCAGAAUUACUGGGCGUAAAGAGCACGUAGGUGGUUUUUUAAGUCAGAUGUGAAAUCCCUGGGCUUAACCUAGGAACUGCAUUUUGAAACUGAAAUACUAGAGUAUCGUAGAGGGAGGUAGAAUUCUAGGUGUAGCGGUGAAAUGCGUAGAUAUCUGGAGGAAUACCUGUGGCGAAAGCGGCCUCCUAAACGAAUACUGACACUGAGGUGCGAAAGCGUGGGGAGCAAACAGGGAUUAGAUACC